UUGGAGGGCAAGUCUGGUGCCAGCAGCCGCGGUAAUUCCAGCUCCAAUAGCGUAUAUUAAAGUUGUUGCAGUUAAAAAGCUCGUAGUUGAAUUUCGGGGUUAGUAGGUUGGUCAUGCCACUGGUAUGUACUGGUCUCACUGAUUCCUCCUUCCUGAUGAGCCGUAAUGCCAUUAAUUUGGUGUUGCGAGGAAUCUGGACUGUUACUUUGAAAAAAUUAGAGUGUUUAAAGCAAGCUAACGCUUGAAUACAUUAGCAUGGAAUAAUGAAAUAGGGCGUUCGAUCCUAUUUUGUUGGUUUCUAGGAUUGACGUAAUGAUUAAUAGGGAUAGUUGGGGGCAUUAGUAUUCAAUUGUCAGAGGUGAAAUUCUUGGAUUUAUUGAAGACUAACUACUGCGAAAGCAUUUGCCUAGGAUGUUUUCAUUAAUCAAGAACGAAAGUUUGGGGAUCGAAGACGAUCAGAUACCGUCGUAGUCUUAACCAUAAACUAUGCCGACUAGGGAUCGGAUGAUGUUAAUUUUUUAAUGACUCAUUCGGCGCCUUACGGGAAACCAAAGUGUUUGGGUUC
This 565-nucleotide ribosomal RNA is filed under the name uncultured Glomeromycotina. RNAcentral's name for it is "SSU rRNA". It matches the Rfam family "Eukaryotic small subunit ribosomal RNA", at positions 548 to 1114 of the family's 1831-position model. Lineage: Eukaryota; Fungi; Glomeromycota. The record is from RNAcentral.